GAUGAACGCUGGCGGCGUGCCUAAUACAUGCAAGUCGAGCGAACAGACGAGGAGCUUGCUCCUCUGACGUUAGCGGCGGACGGGUGAGUAACACGUGGAUAACCUACCUAUAAGACUGGGAUAACUUCGGGAAACCGGAGCUAAUACCGGAUAAUAUAUUGAACCGCAUGGUUCAAUAGUGAAAGACGGUUUUGCUGUCACUUAUAGAUGGAUCCGCGCCGCAUUAGCUAGUUGGUAAGGUAACGGCUUACCAAGGCAACGAUGCGUAGCCGACCUGAGAGGGUGAUCGGCCACACUGGAACGGAGACACGGUCCAGACUCCUACGGGAGGCAGCAGUAGGGAAUCUUCCGCAAUGGGCGAAAGCCUGACGGAGCAACGCCGCGUGAGUGAUGAAGGUCUUCGGAUCCUAAAACUCUGUUAUUAGGGAAGAACAAAUGUGUAAGUAACUAUGCACGUCUUGACGGUACCUAAUCAGAAAGCCACGGCUAACUACGUG
Molecule: ribosomal RNA, 497 nt
Filed under: uncultured bacterium
Lineage: Bacteria
Description: partial 16S ribosomal RNA
Rfam family: Bacterial small subunit ribosomal RNA
Source: RNAcentral